GACGAACGCUGGCGGCGUGCUUAACACAUGCCAGUCGAACGGAAAGGCCCUGCUUUUGUGGGGUGCUCGAGUGGCGAACGGGUGAGUAACACGUGAGUAACCUGCCCUUGACUUUGGGAUAACUUCAGGAAACUGGGGCUAAUACCGGAUAGGAGCUCCUGCUGCAUGGUGAGGGUUGGAAAGUUUCGGCGGUUGGGGAUGGACUCGCGGCUUAUCAGCUUGUUGGUGGGGUAGUGGCCUACCAAGGCUUUGACGGGUAGCCGGCCUGAGAGGGUGACCGGCCACAUUGGGACUGAGAGACGGCCCAGACUGCUACGGGAGGCAGCAGUGGGGAAUAUUGCACAACGGGCGGAAGCCUGAGGCAGCAACGCCGCGUGCGGGAUGACGGCCUUCGGGGUGUAAACCGCUUUCGCCUGUGACGAAGCGUGAGUGACGGUAAUGGGUAAAGAAGCACCGGCUAACUACGUG
This 468-nucleotide ribosomal RNA is filed under the name uncultured bacterium. RNAcentral's name for it is "partial 16S ribosomal RNA". It matches the Rfam family "Bacterial small subunit ribosomal RNA", at positions 28 to 507 of the family's 1533-position model. The record is from RNAcentral.